Molecule: non-coding RNA, 29 nt
Filed under: Homo sapiens (human)
Lineage: Eukaryota; Metazoa; Chordata; Mammalia; Primates; Hominidae
Source: RNAcentral
UAGUCCCAGCUACUUGGGAGGCUGAGGCA